CCAUAAAAGGCCCUUAGAGUUUGAUCCUGGCUCAGGACGAACGCUGGCGGCGUGCCUAACACAUGCAAGUCGAACGAAGCAUGGCGGACGGAACAGCUUGCUGGGAAGACUGCCAUGACUGAGUGGCGGACGGGUGAGUAACGCGUGGGUAACCUGCCCCAUACAGGGGGAUAACAGCCAGAAAUGGCCGCUAACACCGCAUAUGCGCACAGCCCCGCAUGGGGUGGUGCGGAAAACUCCGGUGGUAUGGGAUGGGCCCGCGUCUGAUUAGCCAGUUGGCAGGGUAACGGCCUACCAAAGCGACGAUCAGUAGCCGGCUUGAGAGAGUGGACGGCCACAUUGGGACUGAGACACGGCCCAGACUCCUACGGGAGGCAGCAGUGGGGAAUAUUGCACAAUGGGGGGAACCCUGAUGCAGCGACGCCGCGUGGGUGAAGAAGCGCCUCGGCGCGUAAAGCCCUAUCAGCAGGGAAGAUGGUGACGGUACCUGACUAAGAAGCCCCGGCUAACUACGUGCCAGCAGCCGCGGUAAUACGUAGGGGGCGAGUGUUGUCCGGAUUUAUUGGGUGUAAAGGGAGCGUAGGCGGCAUGGCAAGUCUGGUGUGAAAGCCCGGGGCCCAACCCCGGGACUGCA
Molecule: ribosomal RNA, 634 nt
Filed under: uncultured bacterium
Lineage: Bacteria
Description: bacterial SSU rRNA
Rfam family: Bacterial small subunit ribosomal RNA
Source: RNAcentral